CCUACGGGAGGCAGCAGUGGGGAAUAUUGGGCAAUGGGCGCAAGCCUGACCCAGCAACGCCGCGUGAAGGAAGAAGGCUUUCGGGUUGUAAACUUCUUUUGUCAGGGACGAAGCAAGUGACGGUACCUGACGAAUAAGCCACGGCUAACUACGUGCCAGCAGCCGCGGUACUACGUAGGUGGCAAGCGUUAUCCGGAUUUACUGGGUGUAAAGGGCGUGUAGGCGGGGAGGCAAGUCAGAUGUGAAAACCACGGGCUCAACCUGUGGCCUGCAUUUGAAACUGUUUUUCUUGAGUGCUGGAGAGGCAAGCGGAAUUCCGGGUGUAGCGGUGAAAUGCGUAGAUAUACGGAGGAACACCAGUGGCGAAGGCGGAUUGCUGGACAGUAACUGACGCUGAGGCGCGAAAGCGUGGGGAGCAAACAGGAUUAGAUACCCGAGUAGUC
RNAcentral lists this ribosomal RNA (443 nucleotides) under uncultured bacterium. Its description in RNAcentral is "partial 16S ribosomal RNA". It matches the Rfam family "Bacterial small subunit ribosomal RNA", at positions 338 to 795 of the family's 1533-position model. The record is from RNAcentral.